AGGUGUUUGGGCGCCCUAGAAACAAAAUCGUGCAGGCCUUCUUAAGGCCCAAAGCGGACAAUAUCUUGCCAGGUUUUGGUUUGGUCAUGACAUUAUGGUAUCAGAGCAGCUCUGCGUGUCCUCUUGAGUGAUGGUGGGGCAAACCUCCGUGAGGACGCUGAGUCCCCAAGGGGGGUGAGUGUAACACAGGCGAAUCCUAC
This 200-nucleotide long non-coding RNA is filed under the name Citrus sinensis (sweet orange). RNAcentral's name for it is "long non-coding RNA (CSIN_LNC003352)". The record is from RNAcentral. Lineage: Eukaryota; Viridiplantae; Streptophyta; Magnoliopsida; Sapindales; Rutaceae.